GAGGUUAAGCGACUAAGCGUACACGGUGGAUGCCCUGGCAGUCAGAGGCGAUGAAGGGCGUGCUAAUCUGCGAUAAGCGCCGGUAAGGUGAUAUGAACCGUUAUAACCGGCGAUACCCGAAUGGGGAAACCCAGUGUGAUUCGUCACACUAUCAUUAACUGAAUCCAUAGGUUAAUGAGGCGAACCGGGGGAACUGAAACAUCUAAGUACCCCGAGGAAAAGAAAUCAACCGAGAUUCCCCCAGUAGCGGCGAGCGAACGGGGAGGAGCCCAGAGCCUGAAUCAGCAUGUGUGUUAGUGGAAGCGUCUGGAAAGGCGCGCGAUACAGGGUGACAGCCCCGUACACAAAAGCGCAUGUGCUGUGAGCUCGAUGAGUAGGGCGGGACACGUGGUAUCCUGUCUGAAUAUGGGGGGACCAUCCUCCAAGGCUAAAUACUCCUGACUGACCGAUAGUGAACCAGUACCGUGAGGGAAAGGCGAAAAGAACCCCGGCGAGGGGAGUGAAAAAGAACCUGAAACCGUGUACGUACAAGCAGUGGGAGCCUCUUUUAUGGGGUGACUGCGUACCUUUUGUAUAAUGGGUCAGCGACUUAUAUUCUGUAGCAAGGUUAACCGUAUAGGGGAGCCGGAGGGAAACCGAGUCUUAACCGGGCGUUAAGUUGCAGGGUAUAGACCCGAAACCCGGUGAUCUAGCCAUGGGCAGGUUGAAGGUUGGGUAACACUAACUGGAGGACCGAACCGACUAAUGUUGAAAAAUUAGCGGAUGACCUGUGGCUGGGGGUGAAAGGCCAAUCAAACCGGGAGAUAGCUGGUUCUCCCCGAAAGCUAUUUAGGUAGCGCCUCGUGAAUUCAUCUCCGGGGGUAGAGCACUGUUUCGGCUAGGGGGCCAUCCCGGCUUACCAACCCGAUGCAAACUGCGAAUACCGGAGAAUGUUAUCACGGGAGACACACGGCGGGUGCUAACGUCCGUCGUGAAGAGGGAAACAACCCAGACCGCCAGCUAAGGUCCCAAAGUCAUGGUUAAGUGGGAAACGAUGUGGGAAGGCCCAGACAGCCAGGAUGUUGGCUUAGAAGCAGCCAUCAUUUAAAGAAAGCGUAAUAGCUCACUGGUCGAGUCGGCCUGCGCGGAAGAUGUAACGGGGCUAAACCAUGCACCGAAGCUGCGGCAGCGACGCUGAUGCGUUGUUGGGUAGGGGAGCGUUCUGUAAGCCUGCGAAGGUGGCCUGUGAGGGUUGCUGGAGGUAUCAGAAGUGCGAAUGCUGACAUAAGUAACGAUAAAGCGGGUGAAAAGCCCGCUCGCCGGAAGACCAAGGGUUCCUGUCCAACGUUAAUCGGGGCAGGGUGAGUCGACCCCUAAGGCGAGGCCGAAAGGCGUAGUCGAUGGGAAACGGGUUAAUAUUCCCGUACUUGGUGUUACUGCGAAGGGGGGACGGAGAAGGCUAUGUUGGCCGGGCGACGGUUGUCCCGGUUUAAGCGUGUAGGUGUGUGUUCCAGGUAAAUCCGGUUCACUUUAACACUGAGGCGUGACGACGAGGCACUACGGUGCUGAAGCAACAAAUGCCCUGCUUCCAGGAAAAGCCUCUAAGCAUCAGGUAACAUCAAAUCGUACCCCAAACCGACACAGGUGGUCAGGUAGAGAAUACCAAGGCGCUUGAGAGAACUCGGGUGAAGGAACUAGGCAAAAUGGUGCCGUAACUUCGGGAGAAGGCACGCUGACAUGUAGGUGAAGUGAUUUACUCAUGGAGCUGAAGUCAGUCGAAGAUACCAGCUGGCUGCAACUGUUUAUUAAAAACACAGCACUGUGCAAACACGAAAGUGGACGUAUACGGUGUGACGCCUGCCCGGUGCCGGAAGGUUAAUUGAUGGGGUCAGCGCAAGCGAAGCUCCUGAUCGAAGCCCCGGUAAACGGCGGCCGUAACUAUAACGGUCCUAAGGUAGCGAAAUUCCUUGUCGGGUAAGUUCCGACCUGCACGAAUGGCGUAAUGAUGGCCAGGCUGUCUCCACCCGAGACUCAGUGAAAUUGAACUCGCUGUGAAGAUGCAGUGUACCCGCGGCAAGACGGAAAGACCCCGUGAACCUUUACUAUAGCUUGACACUGAACAUUGAGCCUUGAUGUGUAGGAUAGGUGGGAGGCUUUGAAGUGUGGACGCCAGUCUGCAUGGAGCCGACCUUGAAAUACCACCCUUUAAUGUUUGAUGUUCUAACGUGGACCCGUUACCCGGGUUGCGGACAGUGUCUGGUGGGUAGUUUGACUGGGGCGGUCUCCUCCUAAAGAGUAACGGAGGAGCACGAAGGUUGGCUAAUCCUGGUCGGACAUCAGGAGGUUAGUGCAAUGGCAUAAGCCAGCUUGACUGCGAGCGUGACGGCGCGAGCAGGUGCGAAAGCAGGUCAUAGUGAUCCGGUGGUUCUGAAUGGAAGGGCCAUCGCUCAACGGAUAAAAGGUACUCCGGGGAUAACAGGCUGAUACCGCCCAAGAGUUCAUAUCGACGGCGGUGUUUGGCACCUCGAUGUCGGCUCAUCACAUCCUGGGGCUGAAGUAGGUCCCAAGGGUAUGGCUGUUCGCCAUUUAAAGUGGUACGCGAGCUGGGUUUAGAACGUCGUGAGACAGUUCGGUCCCUAUCUGCCGUGGGCGCUGGAGAACUGAGGGGGGCUGCUCCUAGUACGAGAGGACCGGAGUGGACGCAUCACUGGUGUUCGGGUUGUCAUGCCAAUGGCACUGCCCGGUAGCUAAAUGCGGAAGAGAUAAGUGCUGAAAGCAUCUAAGCACGAAACUUGCCCCGAGAUGAGUUCUCCCUGAGACUUAGAGUCUCCUGAAGGAACGUUGAAGACGACGACGUUGAUAGGCCGGGUGUGUAAGCGCAGCGAUGCGUUGAGCUAACCGGUACUAAUGAACCGUGAGGCUUAACCUUAC
This 2910-nucleotide ribosomal RNA is filed under the name Salmonella enterica subsp. enterica serovar Typhimurium. RNAcentral's name for it is "bacterial LSU rRNA". It matches the Rfam family "Bacterial large subunit ribosomal RNA". The record is from RNAcentral. Lineage: Bacteria; Pseudomonadati; Pseudomonadota; Gammaproteobacteria; Enterobacterales; Enterobacteriaceae.